Molecule: transfer RNA, 74 nt
Filed under: Herbinix luporum
Lineage: Bacteria; Bacillati; Bacillota; Clostridia; Lachnospirales; Lachnospiraceae
Also listed under: 3 other names
Rfam family: tRNA
About the family: Transfer RNA (tRNA) molecules are approximately 80 nucleotides in length. Their secondary structure includes four short double-helical elements and three loops (D, anti-codon, and T loops). Further hydrogen bonds mediate the characteristic L-shaped molecular structure. tRNAs have two regions of fundamental functional importance: the anti-codon, which is responsible for specific mRNA codon recognition, and the 3' end, to which the tRNAs corresponding amino acid is attached (by aminoacyl-tRNA synthetases). tRNAs cope with the degeneracy of the genetic code in two manners: having more than one tRNA (with a specific anti-codon) for a particular amino acid; and 'wobble' base-pairing, i.e. permitting non-standard base-pairing at the 3rd anti-codon position.
Source: Rfam by way of RNAcentral
GUGCCUGUAGCUCAGCAGGAUAGAGCGUCCGCCUCCUAAGCGGAAGGUCGUGGGUUCGAAUCCCGCUAGGCACG